GACUGAUCCAGCCAUGCCGCGUGCAGGAUGAAUGCCCUAUGGGUUGUAAACUGCUUUUAUACGGGAAGAACACCACCCACGUGUGGGUGACUGACGGUACCGUAAGAAUAAGGACCGGCUAACUCCGUGCCAGCAGCCGCGGUAAUACGGAGGGUCCAAGCGUUAUCCGGAAUCAUUGGGUUUAAAGGGUCCGUAGGCGGGCUAUUAAGUCAGAGGUGAAAGUUUGCAGCUCAACUGUAAAAUUGCCUUUGAUACUGGUAGUCUUGAGUUAUAGUGAAGUGGUUAGAAUAUGUGGUGUAGCGGUGAAAUGCAUAGAUAUCACAUAGAAUACCAAUUGCGAAGGCAGAUCACUAACUAUAUACUGACGCUGAUGGACGAAAGCGUGGGGAGCGAACGGGAUUAGAUACCCCGGUAGUCCACGCCGUAAACGAUGGAUACUAGCUGUUGGAUUUUUUCAGUGGCUAAGCGAAAGUGAUAAGUAUCCCACCUGGGGAGUACGUUCGCAAGAAUGAA
RNAcentral lists this ribosomal RNA (513 nucleotides) under uncultured Bacteroidota bacterium. RNAcentral describes it as "bacterial SSU rRNA". It matches the Rfam family "Bacterial small subunit ribosomal RNA", at positions 381 to 898 of the family's 1533-position model. The record is from RNAcentral. Lineage: Bacteria; Pseudomonadati; Bacteroidota.